AGAGUUUGAUCAUGGCUCAGAGUGAACGCUGGCGGCGUGCCUAACACAUGCAAGUCGAACGAGAACGGAUAUAAGUUUACUUAUAUUGUCAGCUAAGUGGCGCACGGGUGAGUAAUAUAUAGUUAAUCUGCCCUGAAGAAGAGAAUAAUUGUUGGAAACGACUUGUAAUGCUCUAUAUGCCUUUAUCACAUAAGUGAGCAAGGGAAAUAUUUAUAGCUUCGGGAUGAGACUGUACGGUAUCAGCUAGUUGGUGAGGUAAUGGCUCACCAAGGCUAUGACAUCUAACUGGUUUGAGAGGAUGAUCAGUCACACUGGAACUGAGACACGGUCCAGACUCCUACGGGAGGCAGCAGUGGGGAAUAUUGCACAAUGGAGGAAACUCUGAUGCAGCAACGCCGCGUGGAGGAUGACACAUUUCGGUGCGUAAACUCCUUUUAUUAGGGAAGAUAAUGACGGUACCUAAUGAAUAAGCACCGGCUAACUCCGUGCCAGCAGCCGCGGUAAUACGGGGGGUGCAAGCGUUACUCGGAAUCACUGGGCGUAAAGAGCAUGUAGGCUGAUUAGUAAGUUG
Molecule: ribosomal RNA, 571 nt
Filed under: uncultured bacterium
Lineage: Bacteria
Description: bacterial SSU rRNA
Rfam family: Bacterial small subunit ribosomal RNA
Source: RNAcentral